CAAGGAUUCCCCCAGUAACGGCGAGUGAAGUGGGAAUAGCCCAGCACCGAAUCCCUCAGCCUUGCGCUGCCGGGAACUGUGGUGUUUGGGACGACCGCUGUCGUGCAGUUCGGGUGCCCAAGUCCUCCCGAUCGGGGCCUCUCCCAAAGUGGGUGUCAGGCCUUUACCGGCACUCGUCUACACGGCUAUGGUCGUCCUCGGAGUCGGGUUGUUUGGGAAUGCAGCCCAAAGCUGGUGGUAAACUCCAUCUAAGGCUAAAUACUGACACGAGUCCGAUAGA
This 280-nucleotide ribosomal RNA is filed under the name Pecten maximus. RNAcentral describes it as "partial 28S ribosomal RNA". It matches the Rfam family "Eukaryotic large subunit ribosomal RNA", at positions 69 to 341 of the family's 3401-position model. Lineage: Eukaryota; Metazoa; Mollusca; Bivalvia; Pectinida; Pectinidae. The record is from RNAcentral.